RNA transcript from Podarcis raffonei (Aeolian wall lizard), 5095 nucleotides. It is a transcript of the gene named signal peptide peptidase like 2A, with no coding region annotated. NCBI's taxonomy places the organism in Eukaryota, Metazoa, Chordata, Lepidosauria, Squamata, Lacertidae. The transcript has 17 exons. The record is from RefSeq and is a predicted model, not a curated record.
CUUGUCUCCUUUACAAAGCGAAAGGGAAGAGACACUUCGGUAUUAGGCGUGUGUUGUUUUGGCUUUGGGGCAACUCUGAACAGGCGCAGGAACCCGGCGAGGAAUUCUGAAUAUGCUCAGAGAACCGUCGGCCGCUCAAACUCGCCACAUUUCCCUACCCGACAGCCGCCAAGCCCCGGGGCCUCAAAAAUAAGCAGCCGUCUCUUUCCCCCCGCUGCCCAAAGGCCUCGAGGGCUUCCCGAGAGAGACCUUUGAGACAUCUUGGGCUUCCCCUCAGGCGGGCCGCCUCUCGCCGCGGCGAAAUCCCGCCCAGAAAAAGGCGACCCGUUUGGGACUCGCCGCUUCAAGACGGCCGGGCGAAACGAAAGGAGAAGCGGAGGAGGGCGGCCGGCCUCGCGGAUACGACGAGAGAAACCGGGGCGUGAUUUCGUGUGGGUCUGUUUGUGAGUUAAGAGUGAGAGAGGCGCGGAGGAGAAGGGCCGCAAGGUGCUGCGAGGGAAGAAGACCCGUUUCCAGACCCGGCGGCGGCGGCGGCGAGGAGUCGAGGAAGGAGGAUGGGGGCCGCCCGGCUGCUCCGGGCCGCCCUUUGGGGCCUGCUCCUCCCGCUGGUCAGCGCCGGUCAAGGAAUCUUGCAUGCAAUUCAGAUUGAUAAUCCUCUGUUAACAAAGGACUACUGCAUAUAUUAUAACUCUGAGUGGACCUCCCUGCCUAGUGCCUUAAAUAACGUUACAUAUACAAGACUGGAGAUCUUGACCCCCAAAUUGCUUUGCAGUCCCUCGGAUGCCACUCAUGAAACUGUCAAGGACAAAGCAAUCGUUGUGUCGAGAGGAAACUGCACUUUUGUAGAAAAGGCAGAGAUUGCUCAGAAACUUGGUGCUAAAAUGCUGCUCAUCGCCAGUGACACUGGCAUAGAUACUCCUUAUGGUAACAAGACUGCAAACAUCACCAUCCCAAUUACACUUGUAAGCAAUGAAGAUAUAAUCAAUUUGAAAGAGGAUCUUGGAAAGAACGUGAACGUGACAUUAUAUUCACCACCUCCCCCAAAAUUUGACUUCAGCAUGGUGGCUAUCUUUCUAAUUGCUGUGGUCUCUGUAGCAUUGGGAGGCUACUGGAGUGGAAUGGCAGAACUUGAGAGUCUGAAGCGGUCUUCAAAUGAUGGAAACAGCGACUCGUCAGAAAGUGAAGAAAACGUGGUUUUAACUCCCAUGACUGCUGUUUUCUUUGUUGCCAUCUGUUGUAUUAUGCUAGUCUUGAUGUACUACUUCUACAAAUAUCUAGUGUAUGCCGUCAUCACAGUUUUCUGCCUCGCAUCUGCAUCAAGCCUGUUCAACUGUCUUCAUGCCAUAGUUAGAAAAAUACCUUAUGGGCAAUGCAGGUUUCCAUGCUGGGACAGAUGCCUUGAAGUGAGACUCUUUUUUCUCGCUCUAAUAUGCAUAACGACAUCUGUUGUUUGGGCAGUGUUUCGGAAUGAAAAUAGCUGGGUAUGGAUUUUGCAAGAUAUCCUGGGAAUUGCUUUCUGCGUGAACUUUAUUAAAACACUCAAAUUGCCCAACUUUAAGUCAUGUGUUAUUCUCCUUGGUCUCCUUCUUGUAUAUGAUGUAUUUUUUGUCUUCAUCACACCAUACCUUACAAAAAGUGGAGAAAGUAUCAUGGUUGAAGUGGCAGCAGGUCCUACGGAUAGUGGUGAAAAGAAUGAUGGAAGCUUGGUGGAAGCCUCUACUGGGCGGUCAGCUCCUCCUGAGAAAUUGCCAGUGGUAAUCAGGGUGCCAAGGUUGGCAUUCUCUGCAAUGACGUUAUGUUCAAGACCAUUUUCAUUACUUGGGUACGGUGACAUUGCUUUACCAGGUCUCCUGGUGGCCUAUUGUCACAGGUUUGAUGUUCAGACAAGCUCUUCCUCUGUGUAUUUCAUUUCUUCCACGAUAGCUUAUGCUAUUGGCAUGUUGGUCACAUUUGCGGGCCUGGCGCUAAUGCAGAUGGCACAACCAGCCCUUCUCUAUUUAGUGCCGUGCACACUAAUUAUGGCCACGUUAGUUGCUUUGUAUCGCAAAGAGAUGAAAAAGUUCUGGAAUGGCAACAGCUACCAGAUUGAGCCGGCAUUAAUAACAACACCUCCAGGCGAGAGGGCAGCCUGAUAAGUCAGCCUAAGUGCCAGUGAAGGGACUAGUUGAGGACCGCAUUUUGAGGUGAUGGAUCCCAUGGAUUUCGCUACAAAUGAAGAAAACUCGACGAGAGCCAAUGAACAACGUGAAAGACAGUAACAGGGCACCUAAAAUAAUGUAUUAAGAUUUUCUAGUCAAAUAUAAUAAGAGACUGGUCUAAUUUUUAAAUUGGAAUAUUUCUUACAAUUUAUUAUGAAAAGAAUUGCCUUUUUUUACACUUGCACAUAUAUUUUUGUGAAACGUUUACUGUUGAUGAUGCUAUCACAUAAAGCUCUUAUUUUUUCAAGUGCCAAACUAGAUUCAAUAAACCCUGUGCCUUGUUUACUUCAAAAGGUAAUUGCCUAUGAAACAGAUAGUAUUUUUUACAUAUUGUCCAACUUGCUGCUGUGUGUAAGACUCUCUGACUUAAUACUUCUUUAAAGGUGUCUAGCUGCGGAGUGGCAGAAUCUAGAAGCAUCUUGCACAGAUUCUUUCGGUAGCAGUGAAUAAAGAAUUAUAAUUUGGUUGGACCAUAGGUAACAGUGCAAUUGUAAUAAGGCAUGGAUUGCCACAAACACAGUGUGAAAUAUGAAUGGUUGAGGGUUAAAAUGAGAUGGUCUCAUCAUAGCCUUUUAACUUAGUUAUUGUUGAAGAUGGGCAGUUCUUCCACUUCUAUCACAACUGAGUUUUGACUCGGUUUAUAUUCUAUCUUUUCAAGCGGGUUUAUUUUCUCUGCAUAGUUGUGUGAACAGCAAAACAGUUUAAAACAAUAAACAUAGAACCAAGAAAACAGAAAUGUUCUCCUUUUAUUUUAGAACCUAAAUUAAUGUUUAAAAAGCUUACUUCCCAUGCCAGGGAUUCAGGAUUCUUUUUGAAAAUGCCAUUAACCCCUUGUUUCAGUAAGGAAGUAGGUCACCAAUAAUGAUUGUUCAUCGGCUAUUAUUCAUAAAUGGCUAUCCUGCUUUAGAGGAAGAAAAUGUAUGAAAAGCAAAUGUAGUGUUCAUCCUUAUUGUCCCUUUGGAUUUGGAAAAUAUUUCACAACUAUGACAGCAUCUUCAAAAUCUUUCUUUUUGGAAGCUGUAGUGAAGAAAAAGCUCCAAGUUUGAACAGGCACACAUUUUGAAACCAAAGAUACUUGGAGGAUUCUGCAGCAGACUGUUGGCAAUGCCUUAGCCGCAGUUCAGAAGUAGCCAGAAAUCAUGAACCUAAUGAGGAACCUAACCUCUUUUAUAAACCAGAAAAGGAGAUGGGGAUACUGUGAUUUUAAACUAAUUGCGGUUUCCUUUGAUAUUUGAACUUGAGGAACCGUGGUUUGUUUAAACUGUGGUGAGAACAAGCCAGGAUCUGAAAGCAGGGUUUGAUUCUGGCUUCUUUUCACUAAUCAUAGUUUAAAGAAGGCGCAGUUCCUCUAGUUCCGAUGUCUAAGGAAAUAGAUUUGGCUAAAAUCGGAAGCAGGAGCAUUCAAGAGGAGGAGAAGGGGAGGAAUUGUCUUCAGGACCAAGACUCGCUAUGGCUUGUUAAUGCAGCAGAAUUCCAUGGCUUCGUCUUACAUUUGAAGGCCUUAUUCUGCAAAGCAGUUUAAAUGUCCCGUCUACCCCUUUUCAAAAUGAUUCAGUACUUAGAAGGCCUCCCUCUCAGGUGUUUUCCUCCAUGUCGUAGUAAUCAAAUGGAGGAAGAAAAUGGGGCCUUACCAGCUAGCCUCACUUUUGUAGCCUUGGCCUGCUAUGUGUGGCCAGUGGAGCUGCAGGAUAAGGGCCAUGGCCCUGCGUUCCUCUUCUACAGAAGAAUCUAAUUUUCUUAACUGCGGGCACAAUCUACCAAUACCUUUCUCCUACAUAAGCUCCACAGCAAUGAACGGAAGCUUGACAGAACUACCUUUGUAAUAUUCCUCCUUUACCUCCGGGGCAUUCCCAGCAGAGAGAGAUCUUUAAUGAUGGACAUUUUUCAUUAUCCGAAGCUCGCCCACAAAAGACUAAUUGAUACAGUAGAUGCAUUUGAAGUAACCAUGGCCACAAAGUGGCUUUCGGAUUGGUGAUUUACCAAUCAGGUUUACAAGCCUGGGAAACUUGAAGCGAUAGCCGCUGAGCUGUCUCAUCCCAUCCCAAAAUAUGAGCCGUCAGUUUUAAGUUAUUGUUUAGUCAACUAAUUCGAACACCGGCAGAUUUAAGAUCUUAGGCUGAUUGUAGUGAACAACAGAAUUAGCCUGAAACAUCCAGCUACAUUGUGGCCACAGAAGGCUUUUGUCCCUUAAAAUGGUCUCUGACUUGGAGGGGCCGAGCCCAAAUCGUAGUUAAAACUAACUAGUUUUAUUUCGAGUCAUGAAUGCAUGCAGUGAAUGUGAGAAUUUUCUUAACCUGCCUUAAAAAAUUGGGGAUAUAAGAAUCUGUCUUUUUACAUUACUUUGAUGCUGUGUAGAUGUAAAAUUAAGAUUGAGAAUCUUACCUGUAGAGGAAUAUCUCAUUUAAUCAUUUCUAAACAUUGCUUGGAUUAUAUUCUGCAAGACAUACAGUAAAUGAAUUUUUGGGCAGGAUGCUUAUCAUCAACAUAUACUUUUGCUUUUUUUAAGGGGUCUGUUUGCUCAAGUCACGAUUAAUAUUCAAGGGGUUCUCAUGUGCUGGAAUUGAUUUCAGGGUGUUAACAAUAUUUGCUUGGAUUAUUUUUUAAAAAGGAUAGUUUAGCUAUCAUCUACUGAAUAGGAUGCUAUUAAUCUAGUUAAACAGGACUGGUGUUGGAAGCUUUGACUAGAAACAUUAAAUGUUUAAAAAAUUGGUUGAUUUUCUACACUUUAUGAGCCUUAAUAACAAUAACAUAUUGCUUAAAUCAUAAUGCCAUUUACGAUAACGAUCAUUUCUGAUAACAACCUUCUUUCUUGCUUUACCUCUGAAACAUUGUACAUUAAUGUUUUUAAGAAUGUUAUAAUUUAGAAUAUUUGGUAUUUAAUAAACUUUUCAAAACAG